This 465-nucleotide ribosomal RNA is filed under the name uncultured bacterium. Its description in RNAcentral is "partial 16S ribosomal RNA". It matches the Rfam family "Bacterial small subunit ribosomal RNA", at positions 28 to 507 of the family's 1533-position model. The record is from RNAcentral.
GACGAACGCUGGCGGCGUGCUUAACACAUGCAAGUCGUACGGUAAGGCCCUUUCGGGGGUACACGAGUGGCGAACGGGUGCGUAACACGUGCGUAACCUGCCCACAACUUUGGGAUAACGCUAGGAAACUGGUGCUAAUACUGGAUAUGUGCUCCUGCUGCAUGGUGGGGGUUGGAAAGCUCCGGGGGUUGUGGAUGGACUCGCGGGCUAUAAGCUUGUCGGUGGGGUUAUGGCCUACCAAAGCGGCGGAGGGUAGCCGGCCUGAGAGGGUGACCGGCCACACUGGGUCCGAGAUGCGGCCCAGACUCCUACGGGAGGCAACAGUGCGAAAGAUUGCACAAGCGGCGCCAGCCGGAUGCAGCAGCGCCUCGGGCGGGAUGACGGUCUUCGGGUUGUAAACCGCUUUCAGCAGGGACGAAGCUUUUUGUGACGGUACCUGCAGAAGAAGCACCGGCUAACUACGUG